Long non-coding RNA from Cygnus atratus (black swan), 276 nucleotides. RefSeq lists it as uncharacterized. Lineage: Eukaryota; Metazoa; Chordata; Aves; Anseriformes; Anatidae. The transcript is spliced from 4 exons. The record is from RefSeq and is a predicted model, not a curated record.
CCAGGAACGGUGACUCCACCACCUCUCUGGGCAACCUAUUCCAAUGCCUGACCGCUCUUUCUAAGAAGAAAUGUCUCCUCAUUUCUAACCUAAACCUCCCCCGGUGCAUAGCAACUUAGAAUAGCUUGGAAUAAGUUGCAUGGCUCAAGACGCUGACUACAACAAGAAAUUUUCUGAAGUUUAUGAGCCAGGUUUCCUAGUCUCAUCCUGUGAUUGCAUCACUUGUGUCUCUGGGGAGGAUGAGAGAAAAAAGAAGAAUCAGAGCAACUAUUAGUG